UGUACAAGGAGAGUUGCCAGGUC
Molecule: non-coding RNA, 23 nt
Filed under: Rattus norvegicus (Norway rat)
Lineage: Eukaryota; Metazoa; Chordata; Mammalia; Rodentia; Muridae
Source: RNAcentral